GACGAACGCUGGCGGCGUGCUUAACACAUGCAAGUCGAACGGAAAGGCCCUGCUUUUGUGGGGUGCUCGAGUGGCGAACGGGUGAGUAACACGUGAGUAACCUGCCCUUGACUUUGGGAUAACUUCAGGAAACUGGGGCUAAUACCGGAUAGGAGCUCCUGCUGCAUGGUGGGGGUUGGAAAGUUUCGGCGGUUGGGGAUGGACUCGCGGCUUAUCAGCUUGUUGGUGGGGUAGUGGCUUACCAAGGCUUUGACGGGUAGCCGGCCUGAGAGGGUGACCGGCCACAUUGGGACUGAGAUACGGCCCAGACUCCUACGGGAGGCAGCAGUGGGGAAUAUUGCACAAUGGCGGAAGCCUGAUGCAGCAACGCCGCGUGCGGGAUGACGGCCUUCGGGUUGUAAACCGCUUUCGCCUGUGACGAAGCGUGAGUGACGGUAAUGGGUAAAGAAGCACCGGCUAACUACGUG
Molecule: ribosomal RNA, 467 nt
Filed under: uncultured bacterium
Lineage: Bacteria
Description: partial 16S ribosomal RNA
Rfam family: Bacterial small subunit ribosomal RNA
Source: RNAcentral